AGGAUUUGAGAGUGAGGGCCAACUUCGGUGAAUAUUGGGACACAGUUAAAAAUAACUGGCCGCAUGACUCGAUAGUGACUGCCAUCACGGCCACGGGUUUUGGAUGGAUUUUCAAGUUGGGGAAGGUCAGACAUGACAGGGGGGUGAUCACAGCCUUCAUUGAGAGGUGGCGUCCAGAGACGCACACUUUCCACUUAUCAUUUGGCGAGGCCACCAUCACACUGGAGGAUGUUCAUCACAUUCUCGGCUUACGGACCACUGGCCGACCACUUAUCCUGCACGGGUACACCUCCACUCCAGCUCAGAGGGUGGCUUUGGUACGGGAUUUACUUGGACUGGCUCCUGAGAACGAUGAUUUGAGGAAGGACAACUUGAAGAUCCAGUGGUUGAUUACACACUUUGGCAGAUGUCACCGGUUGGACGAGUUGGCUGAGGAUUUUGGUGCGCAGUCUAUCUUUCACAUUAGGGCACACCUACUUUGUGUGAUCGGAUCGUUGUUUCCUAGUGGCAGCGGGAACUAUGUGCCGCUAAGCCUUCUUCGGUUACUAGAUGACCUGGAGAGCCUGGGUGGUUAUAGUUGGGGUAGUGCUGUUCUUUCCUACACAUACAGGAAGAUGUGUGAUGCGAGCAGAGGAGUCAAAAUCAACUUCACUGGGUAUGCCACAUUACUUUAGGUGUGGAUAUACGAGCGGUUCCCUACGAUAGCUCCACAACACAGGUCUCAACCCCAGUUCACUUACCCACUUGCGCUUAGGUGGGUGGCUUCAGUUACCGUACUCAGGUGCCGCACUCUCAGAGUCGUAUCACCCGGUACGAGUUGGAUAACAUGGGUGUGGAACAGUUUUUGUGGUGGCCGUAUGCAGCUUUAGAUGAUGAGUUUCAGCCCGAUCAGACAUUGUACUUGCGGUGGACAGCUCCCACCCCUUUGAUGUACAUGGCAUAUGUCGAGUGGUGUUAUACUGACAGGGUCACGAGGCAGUUUGGGUUCGUUCAGGACAUACCCACAUCCUCCGCACGUAGGAAUCAUUAUCAGUUGCACGACGCCGUCAACGAGUCCAUUAACUGGCAGGGCGCCAGGGAGACAUACAUUCGUUUGUGGGAUACGUCCCUUGACCGAGCUAUGACAUCUCCUCCAUUCAUUUUGGGCGAUGGUUGCUCUCCCGCAUACAUGCCUUGGUACCUCGAGGUUACAUGUAGAUACAUGGUUAACCCAAUAUUCUGGCAUACAGCGGAUGCUUUUCAGGGGA
Long non-coding RNA from Daucus carota subsp. sativus, 1247 nucleotides. RefSeq lists it as uncharacterized. The transcript is spliced from 3 exons. The record is from RefSeq and is a predicted model, not a curated record. NCBI's taxonomy places the organism in Eukaryota, Viridiplantae, Streptophyta, Magnoliopsida, Apiales, Apiaceae.